GAAAACCGUCAAUUCUGAAAUUGAAGAGAGGGUUUUCGUCGACUUCAAUUGAUCCUACACGGGUCACUCCAAUUUCAUGCUUAUUUAGGAUCUUUGUUAAAUCAUAAGAGGGCAACCUUCAAAAGCUUUUGUGGAUGUAUGAUGAAUAAUGAACAUGUACAUAACUAUGAAAGGACAUCCUAUUACCAGGUAUUUCUUUUUGGUUUUACUUUUUUGGAUAAGUUCUUUUACCAGGUAUCUUCAGGGCUUUUAAUAUGAUUUUUCGGUCAUUUACUGGCCAAAAAGAACUGAAAAGCAAAAGAAAAAAUAAAAAGAAGAAAAGAAACGAGAAAGUUUUGUGAUGCCAUUCUUGAAAAUAAAAUUUACAUAAUUAUAAACUAGAUAAAAAGUAUUGUAAGUUACAGUUUUUUAACAUUGAAAAUAUCUCAAAAAAUAUUUGAAUUUUUUUGGGUCAAAUAGAAGUUGCACCCUCCGAAUAGUAACAGUGUCAUAUAGUAUUUUUCUUGGUCUCGCUUGCAGGGCUUUGAUCUAGUGGUAAGAGCACAAUGUGUGAUGUGUGGGUUUAGUUUCGAACUGUAUGCUAACGACCCUAGUGGAUUUCUUAGUUAUAAUUUUUUUUAUUAAUUUGCUAUUUUAGAAUUAUACUAUCAAAUAGAAAGAGGUUGAUUACUUAUAAGCGGAACAACGAAUCUCGUAUACUCCUAUGCUAAAAUUGAAUACCCUAAAUUCCUCUCUAGUUUAUCUGCAAGUUAUACCCGAAUUCCUUAGGAGCAAAGAUUUGAAAUAUUACAUAACUGAAUAAGUGAUAUGUGACAAUUUUACACAUCUCAAAGGAACUUUUUCUCUUUUCCAUUGCUGGUUUCCUUUUUCCUCUGUUCCGUUACUGAGAAACCAAAAUGAAUAUGUUGCCUACAAAUCCUAAAAAAUAUAUCUGAACUCCUUUUACUAUAACGUAAAGUAAAUCAAACAAAAAACAUAUUUUGCUGUACUGAUAAAAAAGAAUAUAACAUCAGAAUUCGAGAUAAAGAGAGUAGCCAUAUGCUGUUCUGCCUAAUAUUUGAAUGAAAUUACCCCAUUUAGCAGUUAAAUACAUCAAUUUGGCAAUGCAAAAUAUAGAAAUUUCUCUCUGUGCUUCAGCGAUAAACAGCGAGAAGCACUUUAAACGGAGUAGUUUCAGGUAUUUAUGAAGCUGAGAGCGUCUGAGUAUAGAACCAGCAGUCUCCACCUCUUGAAGGACGAGGAAAGCGACUGAUUCACAAAGGAGUUUUUGGUGACAAAUGAUGCCAUAUCGUGCUCGUUCGUUUCAGUCUGCUAUCAAUCCAUUUGAUCAAACAAAUAGAAACAGUCAAGUGAUGCUUCUCUAUUACUGUGCUUGGCCGGCACUAUGGAUUUCUCUAACGGUUUAUGAAGAAACAUAUGGCAUUUUCAGUUCAAUGUGCACAACUGUGUGAAUCUGCCAGCGGGUUAACAUUGCUAGUUCAGCAUCAUAGACAACCUUUAGUUUUCACUCAUUAUACUAUUUUGCAGGUAUAGGCAUCUUUUUUUCCAUAUAAUUUUGGCAUUUUUCUUUGGGUGGGUUUCCACUAGGAAUGAGCGUCUUGCUCUCCAAUUCCUAUUCUUUAUUACUUGUAUUGAAUUUAUUUGUUCCAAACGCGAAGAGUCAUUCUUUUGAUUUAGUAGUGCAACUCUUGGACAUCGUUGUUACUGUAUUCAUGCUCUUGCAUUGGAAACAUGACCAUCUUCUUGAAACUCUAUUUUUGUGUUGUUACACUAGAGUUAGGUUUGUUUUUCUUAAUCUUGAAAAAUAUGAAUCUUCUCUUGAAUAAUUGCUUCCAGC
This 1837-nucleotide long non-coding RNA is filed under the name Nicotiana benthamiana. RNAcentral's name for it is "long non-coding RNA (NBEN_LNC021824)". Lineage: Eukaryota; Viridiplantae; Streptophyta; Magnoliopsida; Solanales; Solanaceae. The record is from RNAcentral.